UGGGGAAUCUUAGACAAUGGGCGAAAGCCUGAUCUAGCCAUGCCGCGUGAGUGACGAAGGCCCUAGGGUCGUAAAGCUCUUUCGCCAGGGAUGAUAAUGACAGUACCUGGUAAAGAAACCCCGGCUAACUCCGUGCCAGCAGCCGCGGUAAUACGGAGGGGGUUAGCGUUGUUCGGAAUUACUGGGCGUAAAGCGCGCGUAGGCGGAUUGGAAAGUAUGGGGUGAAAUCCCAGGGCUCAACCCUGGAACUGCCUCAUAAACUCCCAGUCUAGAGUUCGAGAGAGGUGAGUGGAACUCCGAGUGUAGAGGUGAAAUUCGUAGAUAUUCGGAAGAACACCAGUGGCGAAGGCGGCUCACUGGCUCGAUACUGACGCUGAGGUGCGAGAGUGUGGGGAGCAAACAGGAUUAGAUACCCUGGUAGUCCACACCGUAAACGAUGAAUGCCAGUCGUCGGCAAGCAUGCUUGUCGGUGACACACCUAACGGAUUAAGCAUUCCGCCUGGGGAGUACGGUCGCAAGAUUAAAACUCAAAGAAAUUGACGGGGGCCCGCACAAGCGGUGGAGCAUGUGGUUUAAUUCGAAGCAACGCGCAGAACCUUACCAACCCUUGACAUCCUGAUCGCGGAUAGUGGAGACACUUUCCUUCAGUUCGGCUGGAUCAGUGACAGGUGCUGCAUGGUUGUCGUCAGCUCGUG
This 695-nucleotide ribosomal RNA is filed under the name uncultured bacterium. Its description in RNAcentral is "bacterial SSU rRNA". It matches the Rfam family "Bacterial small subunit ribosomal RNA", at positions 355 to 1064 of the family's 1533-position model. The record is from RNAcentral.